CUAAAUGAAAAUCAGAUCAAGGGUCGAGGUGUUGCCACCUCAAUCUCUGUCAUUUGGUCCGAUCAAAAGGCCCUCACUAUAUCAGGGCUCACAAAAUAAUUAUGAGUCAACUAUAUAAAUCUCUUGGAUCUAAAUUGCCUAUCAAAAUUUGCAGAGAAGAGAAGGAAUAGUUAUUUCAUCAGGAAAGUUUCCAACUGUCCUCAAAGGCUUCCAAUAAUCCAUCAUGCUACUGGUAUCAAUCUUCCCUAGCAAUAGAGUAUUGGAAGACUUGUGGACCGUUGAAGACACAUUUCUUUCAUCGAGGUAAAUCGGGUCGAGCCAUCUAUCUAGAUUACAAAAGGUACGUAAAAAGACGAAAUCGAAUGUAUAGCAACAAUAACUACUAUAAAUAAGAUUUUUACUUCAUUUGUGUACCGUAAAGAUAAUUAUUUUCUUGAUGUAUCAAAAUCAAGAGGUUAUGCAAUUUUCUUCUAAUUUCCCCUGUUGAUUUAUGUUAAAAUUACUUCAAAUUAUAGGGUUUUGAUCGUUUUCAUCGAUCUAGAUAAAAUUUAUAAUGUUUUCUAUCCUCUACUGGGUGCGGCAAAUUAAUUAAUUGUAAGUCAAGGGCUCAAAUUAGGGUUUACAAAUGAUUUUCAGGCUGAGCGCAGAUUGAAAAAAUCUGGUGUAAUUAAUAUGUGAUACGUGGAUUUUUCUUCUCUUCUCUCCUCUUCUCUCUCUCUGAAAAUUUUGAUACGUAAAUUGGACAUUUAAAGAUUAGGAUUUAAAGAAACUGAGAUUUUUCGAAUUAUGUUCUCUUCCCUCAUAAAUCAGGUCGAAUCCGAUAAAAAGUUACAUAAAGAGAACUCUGAAAAAUAAAUAAAUUGUACUCUACCAAGUCAAUUUAUGAUAAUUUCUUUUAAACUUCGAAUUACUGCAAUUAGGGUUUCACGCGUAGUAGAAAUCUUGACUAUUUCUACAGCCAUGUUACAACUAAUUAAGCAUUUAACUGUUGGAGUUUUAUUAUUAUUAUUAUUAUUAUUAUUAUUAUUAUUAUUAUUAUUAUUAUUAUUUUUAUUUUUUUUUUUUUUUUGGGAAAUCUGCUGUAAUUUCUUUGGUACAUAGUAAGCAUCGUUUGUAUAUGUGAAUCAUUCGUCAAAAGAAAAAAAAAAAAAAAUGUAAAAAUGCGUAUACAUCUGACAUUUGGUCUAAUGUCCAGUCCAAUCUAAUACUAAAUUUAUAAAUAGGUAUGUAAAAUAUGUAUCUGAAAUGUAUAAAAUAUGAUUUUAUGUUUUGAAAGUUUUUAUAAAUUCUAAAAAGUAUAAUAAUUAAUUAAAGUAAAAAUCUCUAUCCUUCCAGACUUGUGUAUUCUGGUCGAUGAAAACCUUAGACAUUCAUCAACUUCGGCAAAACUCAUAUUUCUUGUUUCUAAUUAGUAUUAACCACAGGUACAUGAUAGAUUAGUUCCAAACACAAAAGCGUCAAGUUAACAACUUUGUAGUAAAUUUAAAAAAUUAUUCACCAAAUUUAUUGUUAGUCAAUAAUUAAUAAAGUUCUUGCAUAUAAACUAUUUGUAUUCCACAAGAAAAAUAGACUAACAUAUACUCCUCUUCUUUAAUUUCGUGUUGCAUGCUCUUUCGAGAAUAAUUUUACAUUUCUUUCAGGAGUUUAUACAAGUUUAUUUAUCUUCUGUUUGGUAGAAAUUUUUUGAAAAUAAAUUUGUAAAAAUUGAAUUUAUUUUUUAUUUUUUGGAGGAUUUAUAACAUACACAGCCCUUAAGUGUCUUGCGCAGACAGAAAACCUAGCUCAAGCCACGUCACAAGUACGAGCUGGAUGCAUAGUAAUUGGUCUCCUGCUUCAAGCUUAGUCAGAGUACUUUUCUCUUGGAAGUAUGGAAUAAAACAAAAGUGAAAUUUCUUUGUUAUCUUCUCUCAGUUCUGGACUUCCUAUGGAGGUUAUGAGAAACUUAUAAAUUAUAAUAGUUUGAUUAUAGUAAUGGCAAGUUCAACAAGGUUUUGGUCCCAACUUCCAAGAGGUUGGAAAGAGCAAGGUCUAAACAAGUGCUACAUAUACUUUCACAAAGAGAUAGACAACCCUUCUCUCUCCCUUUUUUGCAGGAAACUCAUCUCUGAAUUAGCUACGCCAUGUCUAGCAAAUAUAACAAUCCCCAGCCCCCCAAUCGGACAACAUUAGUAAUCUAAGUCUCCAUCAAGGUCCAACUCUGUCUCUUUGUGCCAGUGCCACCGCCUUAUGUGAGCACAAUUUCCUGCGGACUUUCUCAGCCAUCAGAGAGAGAGAGUGGGGCUGGAGCAUGCAAACCCUCCCAUUUCUUCCAUUUCGUGCACUCUUAUUUGCAGAAAGUUGGCAUUCUCUGAACUCUCUCCCUCAGUGGCCCUUUCAUGACUUUAGGUUGAAGGAGAAGCCUUUGAGAUGUGGGGGUUCAGAAAUUGCCAGCCUUCUUACCAGUUUCAACAGUUCAUUAAUAAGCCGCGUGCAGAUAUAUAUACAAAAUUAGUAAGUAUUAAUUUGUUUUAGAAACUUUUAAACUCUAACUUACAUGCUCUAACUCAAUGAUAGAAUCCGAAAAAUAGCCUUUUGUUUUUCUUUGAAAAGUUAUAAUUCAAAAUAUUGUUCUCUGGAUUUCUUCAUCUCUUUUUUCACUUCUAAAGAAUUGGAUUUUGUUAUGUUUUGUACAAAAUAAGAACCCUUGCUACCUGGCAUGACCUCACUACCAAUGCCAGAUGUAAUAUGCUUAAUUUAAAUUUUGUCCAAUUCCUUCCACACAAACAAUAAAACAGUAAUAAUACAACCCUCUUUAUUUGCUACUGUGCAAGUUGAACAAUGUUUUGGUUUAUGGAACUUCGAAGGAUAUUUAGUGUCAACGGGCUUCAUGUUUUUUCAUCCUUUUUCUCAUAUCGGUUGACAAGAGGAUGAUUUGAACCAUCAGAAUCCCUUUUCUAUUCGGAGAAGUUCUUUUCAACGUGCAUUACUCUUUUAUGCCAAUAUAGCAUCUACUUGAAUAGUGGGUAUUUGAAAUUCUAUUUUCCUGAUAUGUAUGGUUAUUUUUGUUGGAAUGUUUUAAACUUUCACAAUAAAUAUUAAUUUUCAUUUUGAUUUCAAUAUUAACUUUUUAUACAAAAUUAAAUCUCAUAAUUUAGGUUGUAACUUAAGAAUAAAAGUUUCAACCUUUCAAAUUAAAACCUCUUAAUUUCAAGUUUUAACAUAAAAUUAAAAUAUCAUAAUACAUAUUAUAACUUAUGCUUUAAUGAUAUAAAUGUGGGGGGUUGAAUUUUCUACUAUAAAAAAAGGUGGAUUUCAUAUCCUUUUUGACACACAAAAAAAUCAAACACAAAAGAUACUCUUUAGUAUUUUCAUACUACUCUCUAAUCAUUUUAUACUAUAUUUCUAAAGUUUGUAGCAACUUGAUGAAAGACUCGUUCAAUUAUCUCUUUAUGGUCGUGCCCAUAGAAGGAGAGCCACAUGAGUUUUAUUUUGGAGCCAUGUAGUACUGAAAGAACCCGCACGAAGGGUGGACAACACAACUUUAAGACAGCGUCCUCUACGUGACUCCCAAGGCUUGAUUUUCUAACUCUCUUCUUAUAUUUAUAUUAUUUUGAAUCAUGUUAAUGUUAUUUAAUUGAAUUGUGCAAAUCAUCAAUUUCCCCUACAAUCUAAAGUCGUGUUGUAUGAUUUGUGAGUAGAUAUUUGGUAUUGUGAUUUUCAAAUAUAAAAUCACAUGUAAGUUCACCAACAGUAGUAAAACCAGCCAUGAACUGUCAUUUAGAUGAUAGAAAUAAAUAUUGGGUCAUGACUGCCAUGGAUAGUUUGGGAGAUUAAUUAUAAGAUUGCUUAAUACUUUUUUAUAUUUAAAGAAUUGAAAUAAUUUGUCAUUUACUUUGCACAUUUUACAUAACCUAAUAGAUUAUAACAACAUACUCUAGAAGAAAUACAUCAAAUAUGAUAGCCUCUUUUUCAUCAAUCAGAAAGAAAAUUUUAGUUAAUUUUCUUCUUCCUAAUAUACGAAUUUUCAUUUCAAGCAUGUAGUUACUUCAUCAUGUUAUGUCGACACCAUUUGAAAUAUAUACGGAAACUGUUAGUAUAAUUUUGUAGAUUUCUGUCUAAUUUUGUUAUGCUUUCCAUCCACAAAUGCAGUAAAACCUCACUUAGCUUGCAAACAAGUUGGAAUUUUGAUAUAAAUGUUCUCAACUCCUAAAAAAAAUAAAAAAUAAUAAAAAAUAAUAAAAUAAAUCUUGGGAGCUUGUAAGCUUAGAUUUUAAUAUUCUACUGAAUGUGAUGAGCUAGAUUAAAUUCAACCUUAGAUCAUGUUUAGCAUCGUUAAUUCUAGCUUGAGCUUGAAAUAUUUUCUAAAGUAUUAGGCUCAGCUUGGUUUGUAAGGACCACUAAUCAAAAAAUUACCCUUUAAGCAUAAUAGUUGAAAGGAACCAUGUCUAGUUGGUACUCUGACAUGUGGUUUAUUAUUCUUCAACAAUUAUUGGCAAGAAAAUCAGUCCUCAAGUCUCGAAGCAUGCUUCGGUUGUUAAAAUUUAAAUAUCCUAAGCCUUCUUGAUUGUGAGAUGUGAUUUUAUUGUGUAUGAGCAUCUGAAAUUGAAAUUGUGCUGAUUAUAAAGUGUACUUAUCUAUAAAAUUUAUUAAAACAUGAUUUUCUUAGAAUAUAUGAUUAAUCUUAAACAACGAUUUAAGUCAAUUAGUGCGCUCUUCAACUUAAGUUUCUGUCAUCUUGAUAUUAGUUCAAUUAUGUGACUUAAAAUAUUGUGCCAUCCUACCAAGAAUUUUUCAAUGCUUUUGCUAAUACAAUAAGAACUUGCUAGUGAUUACUUUAAAUGAGUAAAUUUUCAGUGAAAUUGUAGUAGUACAACGAAUUCUAUUCCAAUUAAAUCAAAUCUUAGUUGCUACUUGUUUAUCUUGUCUAAAAGGAAGUGUACUGCCAUUACCAUCACAUAAGGCUAUGGAGGAAUCUCAUUAUAAUUAGAAUGUGAGUCAGAUGUUUAAAAGUAGAGCUGGUAAUUAUUUUGGAUUAUGUAUGGCAGUUGACUUGGUUUAAGCAUAACAUAAUCAAUAGGGAAAUUAAUUAGAUAAUGACAAACGUAAUUUUGGGUUCUAAAAACAUUGUUUUCAUCAUUAUGGCGACUCAAGAGGAUAACUGUUACAGUAUAGUGUAUUAUGCCAGUUAAAAUUAGGGGCUAAGAAACUAUUGAUUCCUGUCUUUCCUUCUCUAUCUAGUAAAAUUAUACAAGCAUCACAGAUAAUUGUUUUCUCGAAGGUUAAAGAAGAGGCAGUGAUUUGACUUGGGAUACAAAGACAUGUUGCCAUGUAUAAUGCUACUCCAAGUAACAUGUAUAACUGGAAUUAUCUAAAUUGAAGUAUGUUUGCACUUAACCAUGUUAUCAUCCUAAAGAUAAUUUUAUUGUGGGAAAGAAGUUCCAAAAGUUAUGUGGUAUUAAAAACUUUGGAUAUAUGUGUGCUAAAUGAACAUUAACAUCAACUUAAUAUCCCUAAUGAUGAUAAUUAACAAUUUAAUAUAGUCACUCAUAUAUGUGAUGUGUACGUAUGAGUAGGGUAUGCAUUUAUGAUUGAUAUUUGUAUAGUCUCAAUCGACUAUAAAAAUCAAUGUUAUAUUUGUGACAUAUGAAUAUUGGUACCUCAUUUGGAAAUGAAUUAUUGUGUUUAAAUUAAAUUUAAAGAAAUCAUAUCUUUGAAAUGUGUGGGUAUUUAAAAAUUUCAAAUAGAUGCACCGUACAUUGUGUAAAACUGACUUUUGAAAGUGCAUAAAUAAGACUAGAGACACGGAGGUCAAAUACAAGAGUUGAAUGGAUGCACAUGUUCAAACAUGUGAUUAGAAGUCAAUUUUAAGUUUAACUAUUUAUCUUAUUAUACUUAACGUGACUUUAAUAUUUUGAAAUGUUUUAGAAGAUUUUGCAGAUGUACUGAUGUGCAAGCAGAAAAUAAGAGUUUGCAAAUAUUAUGGUACCAAAUUAUUGUCCAAGAGGGACACGAAUAUAUUGAAAUCCAUGGAUAUAUAUAUAUAUAAAUCAUUGAAGUGGAUGAGUUUAAGUCCAUAAGGGAGUCACCUCCGAAAGUAACCCAAGUUUUGUGAUUGGAGAUCCCAUGAAGAAGGUUCAAUGUGGUAGAAACAACCCAUACUACAUGACUUGUAUAGCACUAUCUUAUUUGUGCUUAUCCCUAUGGUGAUAUAGUGCUAAUAAUAAUGUGAUGUUAGGAAGGGUUUAACCCUAAAUGAGUACCGAGGCGAGAAUUCUCAUGAGAUGUGAGUCACACGCACUCUUGAAGGACUCACUUAUGUAAGAGUUGCCAUGAGAGCGUGACUAUGGAAUUGGGUUAUUCUCUAGAGACUCUUACUAGAAUUAAAAUUAGAGUGCAUGACCAUUAAUAGCUCUAAUCGUUAUGAACUGAGCCUAAAUCGAUACUGUGAGUAGAACAAUUGUAAUUUGACCAAAGAGACCUAAUUCAAGGGUUAGUCCAUUAUGGCUCUUUCAAAUGGAAAUUGUUAUCACUAAGUGAGAUUCAAGUCCAAAACACACCUACACCUAUUACAUAGUAUAACCACUACAGCAAAAAUGACCUCUUGCAACAUGUAAAAGGCAACAUCCGUGAAUUAAAUGUUGCUAAAGGGGUCAAUGGCAACAUUCAUUCAAAUACGUGAAUGUUGCCAUUGCUUAAUAUAAUUGAGCUUUGGCAACAUUUUUUAAGUGAAUGUUGUCAAUGCCACCUUUUUGCAACGUUUAUUUAGUGUUGCGAAAAAUUUUACCUUUCGCAACGUUUAUGAAAUAUUUCAAAAAGUUGUCUUUCACAACGUUUAUAAAACGCUGCAAAAAACUAUCUUUCGCAACAUUGUAGAAAACGUUGAAAAACUUUCUUUUGCAACGUUUCAAAAACCUUUUUUUUGCAACGUUUAUGAAACGUUGCAAAAGUUUUGACUUGCAACAUUUAUGAAACGUUGUAAAAGCUGUUAAAAUAUUUACCCAACCCAACUUAUAUAUUCAAUAUCCACAAUCCAUAAACCUAAAAUUCCCAAAAUCUAAACUUCAGUCCGG
RNAcentral lists this long non-coding RNA (7049 nucleotides) under Olea europaea subsp. europaea. The record is from RNAcentral. Lineage: Eukaryota; Viridiplantae; Streptophyta; Magnoliopsida; Lamiales; Oleaceae.